GAUGAACGCUGGCGGCGUGCCUAAUACAUGCAAGUCGAGCGAACAGAUAAGGAGCUUGCUCCUUUGACGUUAGCGGCGGACGGGUGAGUAACACGUGGGUAACCUACCUAUAAGACUGGGAUAACUUCGGGAAACCGGAGCUAAUACCGGAUAAUAUUUCGAACCGCAUGGUUCGAUAGUGAAAGAUGGUUUUGCUAUCACUUAUAGAUGGACCCGCGCCGUAUUAGCUAGUUGGUAAGGUAACGGCUUACCAAGGCGACGAUACGUAGCCGACCUGAGAGUGGGAUCGGCCACACUGGAACUGAGACACGGUCCAGACUCCUACGGGAGGCAGCAGUAGGGAAUCUGCCGCAAUGGGCGAAAGCCUGACGGAGCAACGCCGCGUGAGUGAUGAAGGUCUUCGGAGCGUAAAACUCUGUUAUUAGGGAAGAACAUACGUGUAAGUAACUGUGCACGUCGUGACGGUACCUAAUCAGAAAGCCACGGCUAACUACGUG
RNAcentral lists this ribosomal RNA (497 nucleotides) under uncultured bacterium. Its description in RNAcentral is "partial 16S ribosomal RNA". It matches the Rfam family "Bacterial small subunit ribosomal RNA", at positions 28 to 507 of the family's 1533-position model. The record is from RNAcentral.